GAUGAACGCUGGCGGCGUGCCUAAUACAUGCAAGUCGAGCGAACGGACGAGAAGCUUGCUUUUCUGAUGUUAGCGGCGGACGGGUGAGUAACACGUGUAUAACCUACCUAUAAGACUGGUAUAACUUCGGGAAACCGGAGCUAAUACCGGAUAAUAUUUUGAACCGCAUGGUUCAAAAGUGAAAGACGGUCUUGCUGUCACUUAUAGAUGGAUCCGCGCUGCAUUAGCUAGUUGGUAAGGUAACGGCUUACCAAGGCAACGAUGCAUAGCCGACCUGAGAGGGUGAUCGGCCACACUGGAACUGAGACACGGUCCAGACUCAUACGGGAGGCAGCAGUAGGGAAUCUUCCGCAAUGGGCGAAAGCCUGACGGAGCAACGCCGCGUGAGUGAUGAAGGUCUUCGGAUCGUAAAACUCUGUUAUUAGGGAAGAAGAUAUGUGUAAGUAACUGUGCACAUCUUGACGGUACCUAAUCAGAAAGCCACGGCUAACUACGUG
RNAcentral lists this ribosomal RNA (497 nucleotides) under uncultured bacterium. Its description in RNAcentral is "partial 16S ribosomal RNA". It matches the Rfam family "Bacterial small subunit ribosomal RNA", at positions 28 to 507 of the family's 1533-position model. The record is from RNAcentral.